This is a long non-coding RNA of Arvicola amphibius (Eurasian water vole), 4384 nucleotides long. RefSeq lists it as uncharacterized. NCBI's taxonomy places the organism in Eukaryota, Metazoa, Chordata, Mammalia, Rodentia, Cricetidae. The record is from RefSeq and is a predicted model, not a curated record. The transcript has 4 exons.
ACAGGUAUGACAUCACGCGAGGUCGCCAUUUUGCAUUCCCUAGCAAACUUUUCUCCCCUUCAAACAGGUAAGCGUAGAACGGAAGGUUGGUUGCAUUUAGAGCUUCCUUCUGUAUUAUCUGGGAGGACCAGCCUUCUAUCGGCCCCAGCUUUGAGGAUGAGAAGAGAGGAAGGAGCAGCUGAGAUUAAAGAUGGUUAUCUUGCGAAGGAAGCCAUGCCUGAGGACCAAGGAGCUGAAGACAGGACUUGUCAAGGAAGAAGAGAACUUUCCCACCAAGAGGAGUUGACAAAGGAGGGACCAGAACUUCUUCUCCUUCUUUCCAGGUGAUGGCAGUAUGGAUCUCUAAGAGCUGGCCAGGUGCUCCACCUGGAUGGUGCUGGUGGUGACAGUGAGGCAGAUGUCUUUGUGAUGCUCUGCCGUCUUAUAGGGGGUCAGGUCAAAGGAACAUUGGGGUGGAGGGUUCGGGUUGCUGUCCCCACCACCCCCACCAGGGGGAGCUCCCCCAGGUGACUGGAAGUGUGGUGGUUGUGGUGGUGGUGGCUGUUGCUGUUGCUGCUGCUGCUGUGAUGCCUGGGAAGCCUGGGCCUGGGCCUGGGCCUGAGCCUGAGCCUGGGCCUGGGCCUGGGCCUGGGCCUGGGCCUGAGCCUGAGCCUGGGCCACUGCUGCUGCCGCCGCUGCCGCUUGCACUUGUUGCUGAAGAUCAGGAGGGUUGUGUUUGCGCAUAUGUUUCAUAAGAUAUGUUUCCUGGGAAAGAUGGUAAAAAGAAGUUAAGAUGAAAGGAAGGGAAAGACAUGAACUGCAACUACCACCCUGGACCCCCACUCUGUCAUGCCUGUAAAGGGAUGCUCUGGACCGGGACCUUUAGAAAUCACCAUGGACACUGAGCUGGCAGAGAAAGUUAUUUUUCUCAAAGAUCUCCUAGUAAAGCUAUUUGAUAAUCUUGUUCUAGAAUCUCAUAAAAAAUACCCAAAACCUUUCUUCAUCACAAAACCUUGCCUUAUAUGUCUAGAAUAAAGACUCACUGCUUAUGGUGCUAGUUAUCUCUAAAUACUGACUCUAAUAAGUGAGAGCAGGGGCAAGCACAUGCUGAGCUAAACACGAGAUUUCCAUCAAGAAGGGACACAGACAUGAGAAGAGAAAAUACCAAGCACUUACCGAUGUGUAUGCCCGACUACAGAUCGUGCAGGUAUACACCUUGGCGUGUUUCACCGUAUGUGUAGAUAAGUGAGCGUCUAGUGAGGCUGCAUCUGUGUACGCCCGGUGACAAUUGUGGCACUUGAAGGGUUUGUCUUUGUUGUGCUGCCUUCUGUGAGACUGCAAACAAAUGAGAGAAAACAAAAUGAAUACUGUUCCUUCCUUGGCCUUCAUGGAGAGAGCCCUGAGGUAAGCACAGGACUUCAGAACUGUCUCUACGAUCAAAGUAUCAAAUACACGAUGACAGCAAACUCCUCAAGGCGGUGUCUGACCACUUUUGGGUAAGAACAUCACAUCUGUAAGAAACAGGGUGAAGAUAGCCAACUGCCGGGAGUCUGGACUCCACUUCGUCUUGAGACAUCACCGAAGGAAACCAUCAGCUCUUCGAGUGUCAGACCCCCUUCUCCCUAGUAACUCCGUAUUGAUGGAUUUGAUGCAAGCAUGCUAUUUAUGAAGCAGGAGUUUCUUUAGUCUGUUCCCAGUUCUUGGUGAAUGUUUAAUUCAGUUUCCUUUUGUGCUCUACUCUUGGCAUCCCUUGGAAUCUUGCUUGUUGCUGUUGAGUGUAUCCAGGCCGAUGCCAACUUAAAUCUGAUUAUACCUCCCACUCAUAAUUGGUGUCUUGAGGCUAGAAGUAGGUCUUCUAAAACCAAAUGACUCUGUUUCAGCACCAAAGAAAUCUGGAAGAUGUGUGCUUGGUAUUUUCAGGGAGGAAAGUGAAGGAAAUUGUCAUCUUUGUUUCGAGUUUCUCUCUGUCUUUAAUCAAUCAAGAAAUAUCAAUCACUGUGUCUUUUUGAUAGAGUUUGUGCUCCAGAAAAGUUCUCUUGACAUCCACUUCUUUUCUCUCUGUUGCGGUCACAUUCUCCUCCAGCCAGGUCUCACUCCCGCCCCCCGCAUGCGGGUGGUUGUAUGUGUCCGGGGCGGGGGUGGGGAGGGCAUGCCAGCGGGGCGGGAUCAGUAGCCCGCCCCUCUCCCUUACCGUGUGUGCUGCUGGAGGUGGGAGAGCUGGCGGAAGGCCUUCUGGCAGUAGGAACAGUUGUAGGGCUUGGCCCCCGAGUGGAUACGGAGGUGCUGAGCCAGGUAGGAGGUGUUGGCGAAGGUCUUGGAGCAGUGUGGGCACUUAUGGGGCUUGAUGGUCUCCGUGUGCAUCUUGGAGUGGAUCCUGCCGGAGAGGAGAGGAGGGAAGGGGGGAGGAGGAAGCAGUUCGACACCACGGGCUCAGCGCUCUGCUGGGUGAAAUGAUGUUGCUUGACGGAUGAGAGCACCCCCUCCUCCCUCCUCCCAAUAAAGCUCCGGCUGAAGAGGCUAAUGAAGAGGACACCCACGUCUAGGUUGUUGCUGACUGCAAGUCGGUGGCUAGAAUGGCAGUGAGAUGAUGAAGAGCUGCAACCCACGGCUCUCGGUAACCUUACAGUAUUCGGUCUUGUCAACCCUCGGCCUUUUCCUAAGGCUGCACACUCACCACAGUUACCCUGUUUCCAAAUAGCAAUUUGAACAUAGGCCAAUACCGCCUGUUCCCCAUGGACCUGAAGUUGAAUGCACACCAUGGCUCUGAACUGAAGCAUAUAGUAAAAGCAGGGUCUGCUCUGUAGAGGAUUUCCAAACAGACACAGAGAGAAACCACAAAAAUCGUUCCAGAGUUGGGGACUGGAAAUAACAAUUUUCAAGGCCCCCCAACUGCUAGGAUACAGUUUAAUUUUCAGACAGUAACAAGAGAGAUUAAGAUUUCAAAAGGCAAAAGAGAGAACAGUUGGCACAGGCCACAUGGUCUUGGGUGUUUUGUAGCCAGGUGAGGGGAGGAGCAACCUUACCGGGUGUGCUGCUGCAGAUGGGAGAGCUGGCGGAAGGAUUUCUCACAGAAGUUACAACUAUAGGGCUUGGCCCCCGAGUGGAUACGGAUGUGCUGGGCCAGGUAGGAGCUGUUGGCGAAGGUCUUGGAGCAGUGCGGGCACUUGUGGGGCUUGGUCUCGGUGUGUGACUUGGAGUGGAUCUGCAUCUCCGACUUUGAGUAGAAGGUCAGUGAGCACAUCCGGCACCUGGCCAAGCAAGGGCAACAUUAGAGCCUUUCCACCAGGAGGUGCUGCUGAGCCUCACAAUCCUGCCAAGAGACUUCUACCUGACCCCAUGUGGUGUUCCAACUACAUAGUGAGGCUUGUAGCUUUUCCUUAUUCUUUUCUUUUCAAAGAAAGGGUCUCAUGCAGCUCAAGCUGGCCUUGAAAUCAUUAUGUAGCGCAGGCUGGCCUUCAACUCAUGACUCUCUUAUUUCUUACCUCCCCAAACUGGGAUUAUAGCUAUGUGCCUCCAUGCCCAGCCUACCACAGUGCAAAGCACUCAGAAAUACCCAAUAAGACAGGUAGAUAUUAUGAUCUGGGUGAAUAUAUAUCUGUGGUUCCUAAUGCUGUGGUCCUUUAAUACAGUUAGUUCUUCAUACUGUAGUAUCUUCUAACCAUAAAAUUAUUUCAUUGCUACUUCGUAACUGAAAUUUUGCUACUGCUAUGAAUUGUAAUGUAAGUAUCUGCUUUCCAAUAGUCUUAGGCGACCCCUGUGAAAGGGGUCCCAGAGGGACACAACCCAGAGGCUGGCAAUCACUGAUAGAGACUUUAUUGGCACAGCUAAGGUUUCAAACUUUUCACGGUACUCCUAGCACUCCAUGUUGGUCUCAUAUUUCUCAAGCCCCUCCCCGCUAUGCAAUAAAGAAGGAAAACUGCAUCUCCAGACAACCGUCUUCUUAGUGAUUUUUCCCUACUUCCUUAUUGUAGUGAUUGCUAAAGAGAUGGAGAUGGAAAGUACCAGAAUUUCCUAAUCUAUAUCUGGUCUCUAUCUUGUAGCUGAUGUUUCAUUAAUCACCUGCCUCUGCCCCAGCCUUAAGCCAAUCAAAUGAGAACCACUUUUGAAACAAGCCAAGGAAACGGUUAGUACUGGAUUAAAAUCCUUAAAUCUUAACAAAAAUAAAGGAAUUGAAAAGCAAUGAUUGCAAUGCUACACCUUUCCUUUUCCUUAGCACACGAAGCCAAUGCUGGCAAGCCUAGGUCAUCAACAGCACCUGAAUAGACUUUUACUGGUCACCUGAACCAGCGGAUCAUUCCUACUCUGACACUAGACAACAAUAUCAAAUGAGCAGGUCUCUCAGCAAGUUAAGCCACAUCCCCUUAGACUUUACUGAGUAAAAGUUAUUUAUACAUGAGUUAGGAAC